UCCGUAAGGUGACCCUGCGGAGGGAUCAUUA
RNAcentral lists this ribosomal RNA (31 nucleotides) under Teratosphaeria cryptica. RNAcentral's name for it is "partial 18S ribosomal RNA". Lineage: Eukaryota; Fungi; Ascomycota; Dothideomycetes; Mycosphaerellales; Teratosphaeriaceae. The record is from RNAcentral.